GUCUUCACUUCAGAAGCACAUAUACUAAAAUUGGAACAAUACAGAGAAUAUUAUCAUGGCCCUUUCACAAGAAUAACAUACAAAUUUGUAAACUGUUCUAUAUUUUU
Molecule: small nuclear RNA, 107 nt
Filed under: Aotus nancymaae (Ma's night monkey)
Lineage: Eukaryota; Metazoa; Chordata; Mammalia; Primates; Aotidae
Source: RNAcentral